This 567-nucleotide ribosomal RNA is filed under the name Fusarium redolens. RNAcentral describes it as "eukaryotic LSU rRNA". The stretch from base 186 to 339 matches the Rfam family "5.8S ribosomal RNA". Lineage: Eukaryota; Fungi; Ascomycota; Sordariomycetes; Hypocreales; Nectriaceae. The record is from RNAcentral.
UGAUCUUCCGUAGGUGAACCUGCGGAGGGAUCAUUACCGAGUUUACAACUCCCAAACCCCUGUGAACAUACCUUACUGUUGCCUCGGCGGAUCAGCCCGCUCCCGGUAAAACGGGACGGCCCGCCAGAGGACCCCUAAACUCUGUUUCUAUAUGUAACUUCUGAGUAAAACCAUAAAUAAAUCAAAACUUUCAACAACGGAUCUCUUGGUUCUGGCAUCGAUGAAGAACGCAGCAAAAUGCGAUAAGUAAUGUGAAUUGCAGAAUUCAGUGAAUCAUCGAAUCUUUGAACGCACAUUGCGCCCGCCAGUAUUCUGGCGGGCAUGCCUGUUCGAGCGUCAUUUCAACCCUCAAGCCCUCGGGUUUGGUGUUGGGGAUCGGCGAGCCUUUCUGGCAAGCCGGCCCCGAAAUCUAGUGGCGGUCUCGCUGCAGCCUCCAUUGCGUAGUAGUAAAACCCUCGCAACUGGAACGCGGCGCGGCCAAGCCGUUAAACCCCCAACUUCUGAAUGUUGACCUCGGAUCAGGUAGGAAUACCCGCUGAACUUAAGCAUAUCAAUAAGCGGAGGGAG